CUGAUUUGGUGGUGAUGACCACCUCUUCUAAUUAAGUACUAUCUCAUAUCUGUGCCACACUGUGCAAAUCACUUCACCUCUCAGUGCUUCAGUUCCCUAGUCUUAACAGUACAGCCCUCUCUGGGAUAUUGUGAGAACUUCAAGGUGGUAAUACAGCUGGUGGGGUGAGGCCACAAUGAGAGCAGUCAAUGGAGCAUAGCUGCAAGGGAGCCUAGCAUUAAAAGAUGAAAGCCAGUGAGUCCUUUAUUGGAACCGACGAUUCCGUGAGCUUGAUUCCAGGCAAAGGCUGCAAACGAAAGUGAACAGCCACCAAGUCAACCUGUGAUUGGCCUUGGUCCAGACAUCUCACCUACCCUGGACCUGCCUCUGCCAUUAUUAUUGUCAACAGCAAUAGGAAGAAGUUGACUAAGGAAGACCCUUGGGAUAAGAUGGGAAUUUCCUAGGAGGGGGCAACCCUUCCAUCCAGACAGGAAAGCAGGAUCAAACACUGGAGAGUAAUGGCCGUCAGCAAUUCCAGUGCUUCAGGUAAGAAAUAAGCCAGACUCUUCAUCCUGACACCUGGCUGAAGUGGGAGUAUCUAGGAGGAUUGGGAGAUUUGAUGGGACUCAGGGAGCCUAUUUUUUUAUUUUUGAAAAUAAGAUGGUGGCAUGUGCCAAACAUUUGUUGCUGGACGGCCAUGUGGCCACGGAACGGAGAUGCAGACUUUGACAGGAGAACUUGCUGACUUGACUUGGUAUCUGCACUGGGCCAGGCAGCGGGGAGGCAUUUUGUGGAUUUUGUCUCAGUUAACUCUUAAACAAUUCUCACAGGUAGUGUCCCAAUUUACCUCUGAAGAAAUUAGACCCCAGGGAGUUAGGGGUUAGUCAAUUGGUCCAAGAGGUUAGAGCUGAUAUGGAGAGUCACAAUAUAAUACCGCGU
Molecule: long non-coding RNA, 918 nt
Organism: Myotis myotis
Lineage: Eukaryota; Metazoa; Chordata; Mammalia; Chiroptera; Vespertilionidae
Exons: 4
Source: RefSeq, a predicted model, not a curated record